RNAcentral lists this ribosomal RNA (375 nucleotides) under uncultured organism. RNAcentral's name for it is "partial 16S ribosomal RNA". It matches the Rfam family "Bacterial small subunit ribosomal RNA", at positions 527 to 896 of the family's 1533-position model. The record is from RNAcentral.
GUAGGUGGCAAGCGUUUGUCCGGAAUUAUUGGGCGUAAAGCGCGCGCAGGCGGUUCUUUAAGUCUGAUGUGAAAGCCCACGGCUCAACCGUGGAGGGUCAUUGGAAACUGGAGAACUUGAGUACAGAAGAGGAAAGCGGAAUUCCACGUGUAGCGGUGAAAUGCGUAGAGAUGUGGAGGAACACCAGUGGCGAAGGCGGCUUUCUGGUCUGUAACUGACGCUGAGGCGCGAAAGCGUGGGGAGCAAACAGGAUUAGAUACCCUGGUAGUCCACGCCGUAAACGAUGAGUGCUAAGUGUUAGGGGGUUUCCCGCCCCCUUAGUGCUGCAGCUAACGCAUUAAGCACUCCGCCUGGGGAGUACGGCCCGCAAGGCUG